UGAGGUAACGCCUCACCAAGGCACCGAUCAGUAUCCGACAGGAGAGGGUGAUCGACCACAUUGGAAACGAGACCCGGUCCAAACUCGUACGGGACGCAGCAGUGGGGAAUAUUACACAAUGGGCCGAAGCCCGAUGCAGCAACGCGGAGUGAUAGAUCAAGGCCUUCGGGUAGUAAAGUUCUGUCCUUGGGGAAGAUAAUGACGGUACCCUGGAAGGAACCCCCGGCAAAAUACGUCCCCGCAGCCGCGGUAAUAUGUAGGGGGCGAGUGUUCUCGGGAAUUAUUGGGUGAAAAGAGUAUGUAGGGGAAUGUGCAAGCGCGGGGUAUAACACAGUGUCUUAACCACAGUACCCCUUGCGAACUGUACUGCUUGAGUGCAGGAGGGGAAAGGGGAAUUCUUAGGGUAGGGGUGAAAUGGGUAGAUAUUAGGAGGAACACCGGUGGGGAAGGGGGCUUUUUGGAAUGCAACUGACAUUGAGGUAGGAAAGCGGGGGGAGCAAACAGGAUUAGAUACCCUGGUAUUCCACCCCGUAAACGAUGAGCAUUAGGUGUGGGGUUCGCAAGAGCUCGGUGCCGCACUUAAC
This 584-nucleotide ribosomal RNA is filed under the name uncultured bacterium. RNAcentral describes it as "bacterial SSU rRNA". It matches the Rfam family "Bacterial small subunit ribosomal RNA", at positions 253 to 856 of the family's 1533-position model. The record is from RNAcentral.